UACGGAGGAUGCAAGCGUUAUCCGGAAUGAUUGGCGUAAAGCGUCCGCAGGUGGCUAUGUAAGUCUGCUGUUAAAGAGUGAGGCUCAACCUCAUAAGAGCAGUGGAAACUACAUGGCUAGAGUGCGUUCGGGGCAGAGGGAAUUCCUGGUGUAGCGGUGAAAUGCGUAGAGAUCAGGAAGAACACCGGUGGCGAAAGCGCUCUGCUAGGCCGCAACUGACACUGAGGGACGAAAGCUAGGGGAGCGAAUGGG
Molecule: ribosomal RNA, 252 nt
Filed under: uncultured bacterium
Lineage: Bacteria
Description: partial 16S ribosomal RNA
Rfam family: Bacterial small subunit ribosomal RNA
Source: RNAcentral